RNA transcript from Ciona intestinalis (vase tunicate), 4240 nucleotides. It is a transcript of the gene named eukaryotic translation initiation factor 2-alpha kinase 3, with no coding region annotated. The record is from RefSeq and is a predicted model, not a curated record. NCBI's taxonomy places the organism in Eukaryota, Metazoa, Chordata, Ascidiacea, Phlebobranchia, Cionidae.
AGUACUUAGGCAUGAUGCAAGACUAAAUAUCAGGAAGAAAUAAACGUGAAUCAUUGUAGCUUUAUGUAAUUCGCAAAAUAUAUAUAGUGUUCUAGUUUAUAAGUGAUCAAUAAUCAUACUGCAUAUUUGGAUUUGCAUUUUUAAAUCAUGAAGAAAACCAUUUUUGCAAUCAUUUUGCAUUAAAUUAAACAUUUUACCGUUGCAUAUAACAUAUUAUUACCUUUGUUCUUUUGUUCUUUUGUACUUCUUUUUUUUUAUUAAUAAAUGGUAAUAAUCCAGGUCUUUCCACCCAUUAAUUUGCAGAGAAUGUUCUUUGUAAGAAACACAACAAUGUAAAGAAAUGUUUGGUGGUGUUACUGGCAUUGCUAAGUUUUUGACUUCUGUUGGUUUAUUUUCUAUUGUAACAGCUGGUUCACCAAACACAGAAAAUCAAUCAAAAGAAAAACCUAAAGCUGUCACCCUCUCAAGUUAUUCUGACCCAUUGCUCAUUGCAACUACACUCGAUGGUAAAAUCUCAGCAUUGAACAUUGCUGAUGGUGGAAAAUUGAAGUGGGUUGUGGAUUUGGGUCAUGGACCUUUGGUUUCAUCAUCUCUUGCAAAACUUGUUUAUAAAGAAGAUGGAAAAUAUGUGCGAUUGAUUCCUUCAUUACACGGGGGAUUAUUUCGCUUUGAUGGAGAAUCUGUCGAGGCUGUCCCAUUUGAUGCUGAUCAAUUAUUAAGCUCAUCCUUUCGGUUGGCUGACGAGACAGUGCUUGUUGGUGGGAAAGAGACAAGCACGAGUGGCAUUGAUGCCUUUAGUGGAAGAGUGUUAUACACCUGCACUGCCAAUGGAUGCGACAAACAACAAAAUGUCCACGAUGCUUCAGAUUUGUUGAUAGUGAAACGACAACAACAAGUUGUUCGUUCAAUCAUCAACAGAAAUGGACACGAAAAUUGGAACUUCAGUGUUGGUGAAAUCAACCUGGAUUUUUCUCAAGGAGCAAAUCUACAUCUGUUAGAGGAAUCAUCUGAACAUUCAAAUGAACAAUCAUACCAGAAACAGGACACCAAACAAACCCACACUGAGAGUGAUGAAUUCUCAAUGACGGAUGCUCAUUGUAUUAAAGUUGUCGUACCAGAUGGAAUGGUCUGUCUUGUGACGAGAAAAAAUGAGCAUGUAGUGAAAUGGAAGCAUAAACUUGGUUCUCCUGUAAGUGCAGCAUGGUUAUUAGUGGAUGGAGAACUGAGAAAACUUGAUUUAUUUGAUCCAAGUAUGGUCCCUGCAUUGGAUGAAAGCACAGCGGUGGCAAAGAAGGCACCUCAGAUUAACACAAUUUAUAUGGGAUCAUAUGACAACCAUGUUUACAUCCAAGCCUCACCUGCUGUACAGAAAUCUAUUGCUAUCAUCACUGCAAGUAAUAGAUACGGCAGUACAAAUGCAAGACAAAUGUCACCCAAGUUCGCCUACCGUCGUUGCCACGGUGAUAUGACACCAGUUGCCAUAGAAACCAACAAGGAUGACCCAACAACAGAGUUAGUGGUAAAAGGAAAACCUCCGCAAAAAGCAAACUGUGUUCAUGGGUUGACGCUCUACAAUGAGCAGUUUCCUAAUGAUGGAGGAUAUUAUUUACAAGAUGACUCGAGUUAUUUAUCGAGAAUACAAAGCUCGAAGAGGAUGGGAAGGAAUACUGUUGACUCAUUAGAGAAUGAUUCAUAUGACAAAUACAACAUAGAUAUCGUAUAUUCUUCAUUCAUGCACUGGUGGAAGGAACUUCUUAUAUUAACUGUGUCGGUUUCAAUUUUUGUGCAAUGUCUUAUCAACAAGUGCAUGCAAGCCUUCAAGUCUCGAUCUACAAAUGAAACAACGACAAGUUUAUAUGAAUCACCACCAGAACAUCCCCCUCCUGUUUGUGAGGUGGAGAGAGAAUACGAAUCAAGAUUCUUGACUGAUUUUGAACCUUUGGAAUGCCUUGGAAAGGGAGGAUUUGGAAUCGUAUUCAAGGCAAGAAAUAAAAUGGAUGAUUGCACAUAUGCUGUGAAACGAAUUCUUCUUCCUAACAAUGUAAGUUCUCGGGAUAAAGUCUUGCGAGAAGUGCGAGCGCUUGCAAAGUUGGACCAUCCUGCCAUAGUGAGAUAUUUCAACUCGUGGAAUGAAGAACCUCCAGCAGGGUGGCAACAAAAGAGAGAUGCUCACCUUAAAGAUAUGAGUGCUUGGAGCAGCACUGCGUUUCCCAACACAAGUGAAAAACCAAUCAGCAAGAGGAAUAAACAUUCUACUUCAAGUGGGACUGGUCAACAAAGCACAGAAUUAUCAUCAAGUAACCACAUACAACAUGAUGAUGAUGACGUCAUAUUUGGGUGUGGUACAACUCAAGGAUUUGUUGUUGAUAAGACAACAGAGAAGACAAGUGACAGUGGAUUGUUUGAUGAUCAACAUAACGAUAGUUGGGGUAACAAGGAUGAAACAUGGGGUGAUGAACCCGUUGAAAUGAGAUCCAACAUAGGGGGAAAGUUUUUCCAAAGUGACAGCUCCCUCCCCUCAGUCUCUGGAAGUAUCGUACGAAAUCGGAACAAUAAUAGUUCACCCAGAGCUUCUGUUCCAUUUGGAAGAUACAUGAUGCAAGAUUCGCUGAGUGUUGUGUUUGAUGAUCAAGUUUCAAAUGCAGAGAAUUUCAGAACGAAUAAUAAGGUCAAUGAUAAUAAACCACCAAGCUAUGAAAGUUUGUUUUCCAACGCUGCUGUAAGAAGACGCCCAUCAGCAAAAGCAACAGACACCAGCACUUCCGAAUUAAAGGCAGUGGUUUGUAUGCAAGAUGCGAGCACAGGACACCAGGGAAGACUUGGUCAGCAUAAUGAUGAAGACACCCACCCACAAGACAACACAAUAUAUCUUUACAUUCAAAUGCAACUUUGUAAGAAAGAAAGCUUGAGAGAAUGGCUUGCUGCUAAUGUGGAGAAAAGGGAUUUCCACUACUGCUUGAAUAUCUUUCAACAGGUUGUCAGUGCAGUUGCCUAUGUACACGACUCUGGGUUGAUUCACCGUGAUCUAAAACCAUCCAAUGUUCUCUUCUCACUUGAUGGGACAAUAAAAGUUGGUGACUUUGGGUUGGUAACACACGCUGGAGAGGGAGAUCCGUUUUUUAACGUGGGAGAACUACCAGAGGCGAUACUUGGUAAAGCAGAUGACAAACAUACACAAAGAGUUGGCACGAGAAUGUACAUGGCUCCUGAGCAAGUAGAUGUCCAGCAGCACAUACAGUGAAAAGAUCGAUAUAUUUGCACUUGGUUUGAUAUUUUUUGAGCUCAUUCACUCGUUUGGAACACAAAUGGAAAGAAUUCUUCAUCUUUCUGAUGCAAGAAAACUCAAGUUUCCCAUUCAAUUUUUAAACAACUACCCGAAAGAGUCCAAGCUGACUCAUCAAAUGCUGAGUCACAAAGCAAGUGACCGACCUUCAGCCAACGAAGUGAAUGAACAUGAAGUAUUCACAGAAGUUUUGGACUUACAACAAUCAAGGUCCCGGCAUCGAACGACGUCAUCCAGAAGUUCUGACUCCACUUCAAGCUAACAAUGUUUCACACUAUCUUGUUUCUGAAUUUAGUUGUUUUUGCACCAAAAUAAUUGUAUAAAUGCUCACUUGACACUUUUGCUUACACUGGUAAUUAAACUUUUUUGCUGAAAGUUUUUUGUUUAAUAUUAACUUUUGUUUACCUGAUGUGAACAUUGUUUUUCUACUUUUUGUUAUGUGUUUGCUUUUGUUCAGUUUAAUGUUAAUACUAUUUCAAAAUCACUGGCAUUUCAUUCUGUUAGGCUUGCAAUUGAUUUUAUCAUUGCUCUAAAUUGAAUUUUGCAAUUUACAGGUAUUUUACUGUAAUGCACUGAUGAGUGAUGAAUGUCCUUUUUUCCAUUCCAAAACGUAGAAUUGUGAAAAAGACCAAUAGCUUAAGACUGCCGAAAAGCAAAAAACAAAAUGUUUUUUUACUUGUUAAAUGUUGACUUGUUAUUGAUAAAUUUUUAUAAACAACCCUACCAGGCAAGGUCACAACAAAAUCUAAUUAAGCUCUUCUACCAAAUUUAUUUUUUGUACCAACAUAUUAUUUGAUAAGAAGUAUAUCAGCACUAAUAAAUUUUGAGGAAGAGCUUCGUUAGAUUUAUAAUAUGCCUCGUAGUAUCAGUUUAUAUUUUGAACAUCAACAUACAAUGCAUAUCCUACUCGAAUAAUAAAGUGUGUUGAGGUGCUUUUUAAUAUAAUCAAGUUCAUGG